UUCAUCAGAGUGAUGAUAUUCUGCUCAUCAUCUGUUCUUUGUUUUCUGUUCCUUUCUUGAUAAAACUGGAAAAAUGUCUGAAAUGAAAGUUUUUUUCACAUAUUAAUCAUCAACCAUAGAAGCUGUUUCGUAUUAUUGCAUCUUGAUUUAUGAUCCACGGUCAGACACAAACAGAUUUCAGUUCUUCUGAUUGUUGACGCUGCCAUCUUUAAGGGACUGGAAAUGUCUGGUCGUGACUUUGGAAAAACAACAUAGCCUUCAGUUUCGUUUGACCUGAGUGCUGCAGUGCUCACCAGAGCAACCUGUGACCUUUUAUUAACAUAUUGCGCACACCUGUGUAAAUCUCCACCAACAACAGGAAGUCAACAAGAACAUCAACAAUAAGAUUCAACAAUGAUAAAUGUAGUUUUUGUUUUAAUACAGAUCUUCUAUCACCAACCUGAUCUCCUUCAUCUCCAUCGAGUUUGUCUUCAAGAGGAACUAAACCCCACAUCGACUUGUUUCUGAAGUUUGGGCAGUAAGACGUAGGACAAGAUGGACAGGAAAAUGACAACACAGGCUACGAUGAAAUAACCGAAUGCUGCGUCCUCCAGCUCAGAACCACCUGGAGGAAGUGACACAACUUGCAAUGGCACAGAUCAUAGAAGCAGCAGCGAAGGUUCCAGCGAGUCCUUGGCCGCUCAUGAUGGGAGUGGUGUACGAC
This is a long non-coding RNA of Gambusia affinis (western mosquitofish), 703 nucleotides long. RefSeq lists it as uncharacterized. The transcript has 3 exons. Lineage: Eukaryota; Metazoa; Chordata; Actinopteri; Cyprinodontiformes; Poeciliidae. The record is from RefSeq and is a predicted model, not a curated record.